AUGAUGACCGCCACCCAGCCCCUCCGCGGCGCCCUGCUCCUGCUCCCGGCGCUCCUCGUCGCCGGCGUCGCGGGCGGGGCGCCGUCGCUGGAGUUCCACCACCGGUUCUCCGCGCGCGUGCGGCGCUGGGCGGACGCCCGCGGGCACGAGCUGCCCGGAGGCUGGCCGGCGCCCGGCGGCGCCGCGUACGUCGCCGCGCUCGCCGGCCACGACCGCCACCGGGCGCUGUCGGCCGCCGGAGGAGGGGGCCGCCCGCCGCUCACCUUCUCCGAGGGCAACGCCACGCUGAAGGUCAGCAACCUCGGAUUCCUGCACUAUGCGCUGGUGACGGUGGGCACGCCGGGGCACACGUUCAUGGUGGCGCUCGACACCGGCAGCGACCUCUUCUGGCUCCCCUGCCAGUGCGACGGCUGCACGCCGCCGCCCUCUUCGGCCGCCUCCGCACCGGCUUCGUUUUACAUCCCUUCUCUGUCAUCAACAAGCCAGUCAGUUCCUUGCAAUAGUGACUUUUGCGGUCUUAGAAAAGAAUGCUCUACAACAUCAAGUUGUCCAUACAAGAUGGUGUAUGUCUCUGCAGACACAUCAUCUUCUGGAUUUCUUGUUGAGGAUGUGCUUUACCUAUCAACAGAGGAUACUCGCCCUCAAUUUCUCAAGGCACAAAUAAUUUGCGGAGAGGUUCAGACUGGCUCAUUUCUGGAUGCUGCUGCUCCAAACGGUCUUUUUGGACUUGGGGUGGACAUGAUAUCAGUUCCUAGCAUUCUAGCUCAGAAAGGUCUGACAUCAAAUUCCUUCUCAAUGUGUUUUGGCCGUGACGGUAUUGGGAGGAUCAGUUUUGGAGACCAAGGCAGCACAGACCAAGAGGAAACACCACUUGACAUCAAUCAGAAACACCCCACAUACGCUAUCACCAUCACUGGCAUUGUUGUUGGAAAUAACAUAAUGGAUUUGGAAGUUAGUACUAUUUUCGACACAGGGACAUCCUUCACAUACUUGGCAGACCCAGCAUAUACAUAUAUAACAGAUGGUUUCCAUAAUCAAGUUCAAGCCAAUCGCCAUGCCGCUGACUCAAGAAUCCCCUUCGAAUAUUGCUACGAUCUGAGCUCUAGUGAGGCAAGGAUUCAAACUCCUAGUAUAAGUCUUAGAACAGCAGGUGGGAGCCUGUUCCCUGCUAUUGAUCCAGGGCAGGUUAUCUCCAUUCAGCAACAUGAGUAUGUUUAUUGCUUGGCGAUUGUCAAGAGCACGAAGCUAAACAUAAUUGGACAAAACUUCAUGACCGGUGUCCGCGUUGUAUUCGACCGAGAAAGGAAGAUACUUGGCUGGAAGAAAUUCAACUGUUAUGACACCGAUAGCUCAAACCCUCUCUCCAUCAACUCACGGAACUCGUCGCGCUCGACGCCCGAGAACUACUCUCCCCAGGAGACGAAGAACCCAGCCGGUGCUUCCCAGUUGAGGCACGUCAGCAGCUCCCCUCCUGUGGUGUGGUGGCACAAUAAUAGCCUACUUUUGUUUAUGUUUGUGUUCCUCCAUUGCCCAAUCUUCUAA
RNAcentral lists this ribosomal RNA (1542 nucleotides) under Triticum aestivum (bread wheat). RNAcentral's name for it is "partial small subunit ribosomal RNA". Lineage: Eukaryota; Viridiplantae; Streptophyta; Magnoliopsida; Poales; Poaceae. The record is from RNAcentral.